This is a long non-coding RNA of Cryptomeria japonica (Japanese cedar), 1163 nucleotides long. RefSeq lists it as uncharacterized. The transcript has 2 exons. The record is from RefSeq and is a predicted model, not a curated record. Lineage: Eukaryota; Viridiplantae; Streptophyta; Pinopsida; Cupressales; Cupressaceae.
GCUACAGUGGAACUGCAUGUUGUCUCAAACUCAUCGAGGAAGUCAGCAUCAAUUUUCAACACUUAAACCUAUUAAAUUGUGAUCUUACCAUAACAUGAAUGAUUCAAUUAAUAGAUAUUGCUAGUCUAUCAUUUUGAAUCAACCAUGUCUGGAACUCCCCGCGAAACGACGAUGUGCGGAUCCGCUGAUCGUUGAUCUUCUCCACUACCUCCGUUGUUUCUUGGACUUCAUUGCCUGCCAUAGACAUCAAACAACGAGGUGUUGGAGGACAUCAAAGAUCAAUUGCAGGAUCCAACUGCUUUGCUGAGGAUAAGAAUGCAUAUUCACCACUGCUUCGAGCGAGUCGGUAAUACAAAACCCACUAACAAUAUCUUUGCUUCAAUCAAAUGAAAUGAUUCUUUUAUUCUCUGGUUAAUUGCAGGAUCCAAUUCUUGCGGAUGCAUUUUCACGACUGCUUCCUGCGAAUCAUAUGGAGGCAUAAUGUAAUCGUUUGAAUAAAUAAUUUGUUUGUGUUUUGUGUGAUUUUUCCUACAUGUUAAUGGUUUCUUUCUGUUGUUUAGGGUUGCGAUGGAUCAGUGUUGAUCAACUCUACAGCGAACAAUACUGCGGAGAAAGCAGCCAUAAAAUUUUUUUGGUCGAUUUGAUGUUAUUGAGGAUGUGAAGGCAGAGACAGAGGUAGAUAAGAAUUGUUUCUUGUGCGAAUAGUACUGCAACAAGAGAUGCCUUCGCUAAGCACGACGCACUAGAGGAAAGAAGAAAAGAAUUGGGGGUUCGGGUGCCCUGCUUCUUGGGCCAGAAUGCAGUCGGCUGUAGAGAAUUGUGCGAGUAUUGGGCUGCGCAGCACGACGCACUAGAGGAAAGAAGAAAAGAUUUGGGGGCUUUGCAGCACGACGCACUAGAGGAAAGAAGAAACGACUUUCCCACGAUGCUUCCCAUGAGUGCAGCAAAGAAAGAAGAAAAGAAUUGGGCCAGAAUGCAGUCGGCUGUAGAGUAUUGUGCGUUGGGUAUUCACAGAGAACAAAUUAUUCAGGCACUCAAUUUUUUCCAUUCAAAAUCUAAGAAAGACUAUGAAAUUAGAAUUUAACGAAUGCCAGUCUGUUUUUCACUUCAAAAUCUUGAAUGUAGCGGGCCUUUCAUUAAUCGAAUAUACUAAAUAUGAACAA